RNAcentral lists this transfer RNA (97 nucleotides) under Anaeromyxobacter diazotrophicus. RNAcentral describes it as "tRNA-Ala". The record is from RNAcentral. Lineage: Bacteria; Pseudomonadati; Myxococcota; Myxococcia; Myxococcales; Anaeromyxobacteraceae.
CGAGGCCUGGUUCGAGGGCGAGGGGGUGCGGCCGCUGGCGGUGGCCGAGUUCGACGACACCGCCCUGCUCACCGCCUUCGGGCGGCGGGGCCUCGGC